This 492-nucleotide ribosomal RNA is filed under the name uncultured bacterium. Its description in RNAcentral is "partial 16S ribosomal RNA". It matches the Rfam family "Bacterial small subunit ribosomal RNA", at positions 29 to 507 of the family's 1533-position model. The record is from RNAcentral.
AGUGAACGCUGGCGGUAGGCCUAACACAUGCAAGUCGAACGGCAGCACAGUAAGAGCUUGCUCUUACGGUUGGCGAGUGGCGGACGGGUGAGGAAUACAUCAGAAUCUACUUUUUCGUGGGUGAUAACGUAGGGAAACUUACGCUAAUACCGCAUACGACCUACGGGUGAAAGCAGGGGAUCUUCGGACCUUUCGCGAUUGAAUGAGCCGAUGUCGGAUUAGCUAGUUGGCGGGGUAAAGGCCCACCAAGGCGACGAUCCGUAGCUGGUCUGAGAGGAUGAUCAGCCACACUGGAACUGAGACACGGUCCAGACUCCUACGGGAGGCAGCAGUGGGGAAUAUUGGACAAUGGGCGCAAGCCUGAUCCAGCCAUACCGCGUGGGUGAAGAAGGCCUUCGGGUUGUAAAGCCCUUUUGUUGGGAAAGAAAAGCAGCAGGUUAAUACCCCGCUGUUCUGACGGUACCCAAAGAAUAAGCACCGGCUAACUUCGUG